RNAcentral lists this ribosomal RNA (403 nucleotides) under uncultured bacterium. RNAcentral's name for it is "bacterial SSU rRNA". It matches the Rfam family "Bacterial small subunit ribosomal RNA", at positions 64 to 507 of the family's 1533-position model. The record is from RNAcentral.
GAACGCCGUAGCAAUACGGAGUGGCAGACGGGUGAGUAACGCGUGGGAACAUGCCCUUUGGUUCGGAAUAACUCAGGGAAACUUGAGCUAAUACCGGAUACGUCCAAGGCGACUUGGAGAAAGAUUUAUCGCCGGAGGAUUGGCCCGCGUCUGAUUAGCUAGUUGGUGGGGUAAUGGCCCACCAAGGCAACGAUCAGUAGCUGGUCUGAGAGGAUGAUCAGCCACAUUGGGACUGAGACACGGCCCAAACUCCUACGGGAGGCAGCAGUGGGGAAUAUUGGACAAUGGGCGCAAGCCUGAUCCAGCCAUGCCGCGUGAGUGACGAAGGCCUUAGGGUUGUAAAGCUCUUUUGCCUGGGAAGAUAAUGACGGUACCAGGAGAAUAAGCCCCGGCUAACUUCGUG